Long non-coding RNA from Salvia miltiorrhiza (redroot sage), 804 nucleotides. RefSeq lists it as uncharacterized. The transcript has 2 exons. Lineage: Eukaryota; Viridiplantae; Streptophyta; Magnoliopsida; Lamiales; Lamiaceae. The record is from RefSeq and is a predicted model, not a curated record.
UAUGGCUGUGUUUAUUGAAAUCAUACCUUAUCUUAGUAGAGACUUGGAUCGUUGAUAAAAUACAAUAAAUUAGAUGGAUUAUUCUUUUGUGAAAAACCACUCAACAUGUGAAGUAUUUAAAUCCCGAUUAAAUUUGUAUUUGAUGUCAAGCUAGUUUAAUACUCUCUCCGUCCCGCGAAAUGUGACCCACUUUCUUUUUUGGGUUGUCCCACAAAACUUGACAUGUUUCUAAAAAUAGCAAAAAAUUUACCCUUUAUUCACCUUUUCACUUUUUCACCUACCGCAUUUAACACACAAAAUACCAAUUUCUUGAUUCCCGUGCCGAAAAGAAAUGGGUCACACUUCAUGGGACGAAGUAUUUAUUGAAUGAAUUAUAUUGAAGAUACAAGUAAGCGAACGUGUUGAGAUGUUAAGCUAGUCUGUUCUUGACACAAAUGAGGUGCCAAAGAAAUUGAUGGAGAUGCACUACAAUCGAAGAGACAGAAACACCAACAGUACAAGGAGAUGAUGCAAGCUCUAAUAGGGGCAGAGCCGAAGCACAAUAACAAAUUCGAACACAGUUUCAUACUCAGCUACGAGCACAACAUGAGCCUCUCGACCGAGUUCUAUCGAAGCUAGCGCUACCCCACCACCAUCUUCCUCUUGAUUGUCGUUGUCUUUGGAUGUUGAAUGUAUUAGUAGCAGUUGGUUAACUAUUUUGAACAUGAUUUAUUGUUUGAUUUCUGAUGAAUAUUAUUGUGAUGUUGGAUGUCGAACAUGAUCCGUUGUUGAAUUUUUAAUGAAUAUUAUUGCGAUGUUGGAUUU